UACGAAGGGUGCAAGCGUUAAUCGGAAUUACUGGGCGUAAAGGGAGCGUAGGCGGCUCUUUAAGUCGGAUGUGAAAUCCCUGGGCUCAACCUGGGAACUGCAUCCGAUACUGGAGAGCUUGGAGUUUGAGAGAGGAUGGUGGAAUUCCUGGUGUAGCGGUGAAAUGCGUAGAGAUCAGGAGGAACACUAGUGGCGAAGGCGGCCAUCUGGCUCAAAACUGACGCUGAGGCUCGAAAGCGUGGGGAGCAAACAGG
This 254-nucleotide ribosomal RNA is filed under the name uncultured bacterium. Its description in RNAcentral is "partial 16S ribosomal RNA". It matches the Rfam family "Bacterial small subunit ribosomal RNA", at positions 524 to 776 of the family's 1533-position model. The record is from RNAcentral.